RNAcentral lists this long non-coding RNA (609 nucleotides) under Junco hyemalis (dark-eyed junco). Its description in RNAcentral is "lncRNA (ENSJHYG00000014078.1)". The record is from RNAcentral. Lineage: Eukaryota; Metazoa; Chordata; Aves; Passeriformes; Passerellidae.
CAACAAAACUUUCAAACUCCAUGGUGGCUUAGAAAAGUUCCAGUUCAACAGGAAGAUGAGUCCUCACUUUAGAUUCCUCACUUAGCUUUUUACUUCCCAAGGGUUGGAGAUAAAAUUGAAACUGGAUAUGCAAAAUUCCUACCACAGUGGUGAGUUGGCCCCACAGCAUCCCCUCAGGUUAUCUGUGGAGAAACUGGAAACAGGACCCAGGGGGACCUUCUUUACAGGAUUUGGGUUCCUGGAGCAGCUUGAUUUUGCUCAGACUUCUGAUCUUUUGGGAAAACUGGAUCUGGGAUAAAGAGGAUAAUAACCGUACCAGCUUCACCAGCCCGUGGAGAGAACAGCUGAAGAGAGCAUGUGAAAUUGCUGUGAUGAAUAGCAGAAGAGGGGAAGGCUUCUGGCAGUGAGGGAGAUCUAAGCAGCACAUCAGGCCAGGAAGCAAACUGAGAGAAAACUUUUUUGGCCAGGAUUGAAUUAGGAGUGGUGGAUGGUGUUAAAGAACUGAAAGCCAACAGGUUCUCUGUGCAAAAGAAAACCAAAGAAAAAUGAAUGCAUCAAAAUAUGUGACUUAAAUCUUGUCUAAAUUAAAGAAGAAACACUAAAGUGCUG